AACUUGUUCAACCUCUUUAGCUGACUUUAAGCUGAGCUCUGAAUUGCCCUGCCAGAGAUCCAUGCCAGCCCGACACUCAGCAGCCUGUCACAGAAGCCCCGGCCUCAGGUCCUGGCUUCUUUGCGACUCGGACAAGGGUCCUAUGGCUCCCACUUGACAACUUACAGCAUCCUCUUCUUUCCCUUUCCUGGUGUGGGUGGAGGUGUGUGUGGCAGCGGCUGAGCUGCCUGUCUCUUUAAGAGAGAGAGAGGAAGGGAGGAAAAGAGGUGGGGAGAGAGAGAGAGAGAAGUGAAUCAGGAAGUAUGCUAGAACUAAGAGCCUGGGCUCUACGGUUCUGGGUAUCCCAGGGCUAUCAGAGGGGCAGGAGAGAAACCUCAGGCCCAGGGCCAUCACCACUAUCUCGGCCUCUGUGUGGAUCCUGGGAGUCCAUGGCUACCAGGAUGUAUUAGUCACUGCCCACGGUUGACUUCAAGGCCUGAAAUCCCUGGGGAUGCCACCCAGUCCCACGAGUCUGCAUUGCCCUGCAUCUGAGCUGGGAGAUGGGCUCGGCUCCUGAACUCGCCCCAGCCAGAAAACAUAACAUACACUUGCCGGGAAGAGUCUGCCUGACUCUGGGCCACUUGGAGUGCAGGUGGAAGGGAGCCAAGCCUGGGAGAUGCAGAGCACAGCUAAUUACCUAUGGCACACGGAUGACCUGCUGGGACAGGGGGCCACUGCCAGCGUGUACAAGGCGCGAAACAAGAAAUCCGGGGAGGUGGUUGCUGUGAAGGUCUUCAACUCAGCCAGCUACCGGCGGCCCCUCGAGGUGCAAGUGAGGGAGUUUGAGGUGCUGCGGAAGCUGGAUCACCAGAACGUCGUCAAGCUCUUCGCUGUGGAGGAAACGAAGUCGGAAGUACCCUCCUCCCCAAGCUUCCUUCUGUCCCGCGCACAGGGAGGCAGCCGGCAGAAGGUGAUAGUGAUGGAGUACUGCUCCAGCGGGAGCCUGCUGAGUGUGCUGGAGGACCCUGAGAACACCUUUGGGCUUCCUGAGGAGGAGUUCCUGGUGGUACUGCGCUGUGUGGUGGCUGGCAUGAACCACCUUCGGGAGAACGGCAUCGUCCACCGCGACAUCAAGCCUGGGAACAUCAUGCGCCUGGUGGGGGAGGAGGGGCAGAGCAUCUAUAAACUGUCUGACUUUGGGGCUGCUCGGAAGCUGGACGACGAUGAGAAGUUCGUUUCUGUCUACGGUACAGAGGAAUACCUGCACCCUGACAUGUAUGAGCGGGCGGUGCUUCGCAAACCCCAGCAAAAGGCGUUCGGGGUGACUGUGGAUCUCUGGAGUAUUGGGGUGACCCUGUACCAUGCAGCCACCGGUAGUCUGCCCUUCAUCCCCUUUGGUGGGCCCCGGCGCAACAAGGAGAUCAUGCACAGAAUCACCACAGAGAAGCCAGCCGGGGCCAUUUCAGGGAUUCAGAGGCAGGAAAAUGGGCCGCUGGAGUGGAGCUAUAGCCUGCCCAUCACCUGCAGACUGUCCAUGGGGCUGCAGAGUCAGCUGGUGCCCAUCCUGGCCAACAUCCUGGAGGUAGAGCAGGCUAAGUGCUGGGGCUUUGAUCAGUUCUUCGCAGAGACCAGUGACAUCCUGCAGCGAAUCGUCAUCCACGUCUUCUCCCUGCCCCAGGCGGUCUUACAUCACGUCUACAUCCACGCCCACAACACGAUUGCCAUCUUUUUGGAGGCUGUAUAUGAGCAGACCAACGUGCCCCCCAAACACCAGGAGUACCUCUUUGAGGGUCACCCUUGUGUCCUGGAGCCAAGCCUCUCAGCCCAGCACAUGGCCCCCACCGCUUCGGGCAGCCCUCUGAUUCUGUUCAGCGUGGCCAGUGACACACCCAAGGGGUUGGCCUUCAGGGACCCUGCUCUGGACGUCCCCAAGUUCGUCCCCAAGGUCGACCUACAGGCAGAUUACAGCACCGCUAAGGGGGUGCUGGCUGCUGGUUUCCAGGCCCUGUGGCUGGCGCGGGUCCUGCUGGAUGGGCAGGCGUUGAUGCUUCGAGGGUUACACUGGAUCCUGGAGAUGCUUCAGAACACAUGCCAGCAGACGCUGGAGGUCACGCGGACAGCCCUCCUCUUCCUCAGCAGCAGCCUGGCCAUCGAAAGACUCAGCAGCAGGGCUGAGAUGCCUGACUUCCAGGAACUAAAGGAGGCCACAGAGCUGAGGUCCAGGCUGCAGACUUUCUCAGAGGUCCUCUCUAGAUGUUCCCACAAUGUCACAGAGACCCAAAUGAGCCUGAGCUGCCUGGGCGGAGAGCUUUUGAAGAACCGGAAUCAGAUCCAUGAGGACAACAGAAGUAUCCAGAAGAUUCAGUGCUGUUUGGACAAGAUGCACUUCAUCUACAAGCAGUUCAAGAAAUCUAGGAUGAGGCCAGGACUCAGCUACAACGAGGAGCAGAUCCACAAGCUGGAUAAGGUGAAUUUUAGCCACUUAGCCAAGAGGCUGCUGCAGGUGUUCCAGGAGGAGUGUGUGCAGAAGUAUCAGGUGUCGCUGGUCACACAUGGCAAGAGGAUAAGGUACAGAAGGCCCAGAACCACCUGCACCUCAUUGGCCGCUCUGUGGCUGCCUGUAACGCAGAAGCCCAGGAAACACAAGAGAGCCUGAGCAAGAUCCUUGAUCAGCUCCUUCUGGACAGAGCACCGGGGGCUCAGAUCUCACCACACCCCAUGGCUCCUCAUCCCAGCCCUGAUCCCAAGGACCUGGUCUUCCACAUGCAGGAGCUUUGUAAUGAUAUGAAGCUGUUGGCCUUUGAUCUCCAGGACAACAACCGUCUCAUCGAACGGCUGCAUAGAGUUCCGCCAGCACCAGAGGUCUGAGCUCCAUGAGGUACACAAGGCACUCAGAAGCAUUAGAAUCACUCAUACUGCACCCCUGCACCUGAGACCAAAUUCCGGGCCAGCUCUGGUCCCAUCUCACCAGCCUACCUCCUUCUUGGCCACUGGCCAGCAAACUAGCAUUUUGGCCGCCUGUCCUCUUGGGAAGCAGCUGGGACAGGGACUCCUAGCCAUCCCGGACAGCACCCGCAGGAGAGCCUGCAGCUACCACUGCCUCAUCCAGACACCAAGACUGUUCCUCCUCACCCAGGCCUUGAGGUCUGAACUCAGGAGGGCCUUGGGAAGAAGAGCUGAGCCAUCCCACCAUUCUGCACGUCCAGGGACCAGCAGGCUCUUCUGGAGCUUCUCCAGGGUGCUGGAGCAGAGGACUUACUCGGCAAGGCUUCCCGUUGAACACAGCCUGCUAUUUCCUGAGUGACCCCAUCCCUGGCCACAGGCACCCAAUAAACAGCCUCUUUGUGCUGUG
RNA transcript from Peromyscus leucopus (white-footed mouse), 3331 nucleotides. It is a transcript of the gene named inhibitor of nuclear factor kappa B kinase subunit epsilon, with no coding region annotated. The transcript is spliced from 22 exons. The record is from RefSeq and is a predicted model, not a curated record. Lineage: Eukaryota; Metazoa; Chordata; Mammalia; Rodentia; Cricetidae.